This 1016-nucleotide ribosomal RNA is filed under the name Kocuria rosea. RNAcentral's name for it is "bacterial SSU rRNA". It matches the Rfam family "Bacterial small subunit ribosomal RNA", at positions 38 to 1067 of the family's 1533-position model. The record is from RNAcentral. Lineage: Bacteria; Bacillati; Actinomycetota; Actinomycetes; Micrococcales; Micrococcaceae.
UGCGGCUGCUUACACAUGCAGUCGAGCGAUCAUGCCGAGCUGGCUGCCCUGAUUUGCGGAGGACGGGUGAGUAAUACAUGUGUGACCUGUGCCUGACUCAGGGAGAUACCUGCGAAAAAGGGGCUAAUACUGGAUAUGACCUCUUACCCCAUGGUGGGUGGUGGAAAGGGUUUUAUUGGUUUUGGAUGGGCUCAUGGCCUAUCAGCUUGUUGGUGGGGUAAUGGCUCACCAGGGCGACAACGGGUAACCGGCCUGAGAAGGUGACCGGCCACCCUGCGACUGAGACACGGCCCACACUCCUACGGGAGGCAGGAGUGGGGAAUAUUGCACAAUGGGCGGAAGCCUGAUGCACCGACGCCGCGUGACGGAUGACGGCCUUCGGGUUGUAAACCUCUUUCAUUAGGUAAUAAGCGAGAAUGACGGUCCCUGCAAAAGAGGCGCCGGCUAACUACGUGCCAACAGCCGCGCUAAUACAUAUGGCGCACGCGUUGUCCGGAAUUAUUGGGCGUAAAGAGCUCGUACGCGGUUUGUCGCGUCUGCUGUGAAAGCCCGGGGCUCAACCCCGGGUCUGCAAUGGCCACGGGCAGACUAGAGUGGGGUAUGGGAGACUGGAAUUCCUGGUGUAGCGGUGAGAUGCGCGGAUAUCACGAGGAACACCGAUGGCGAAAGCAAGUCUCUGGGAUGUCACUGACGCUGAGGAACGAAAGCAUGUGGAGCGAACAUGAUUAGAUACCCUGGUAGUCCAUGCCGUAAACGUUGAGCCCUAGGUGUGGGGGACAUUCCACAUUUUCCGCGCCGUAGCUAACGCAUUAACUGCUUCGCCUGGGGAGUACCGCCUCAAGGCUAAAACUCGAGAGAAUUGACGGGGGCCCGCACAAGCGGCGGAGCGUGCGGAUCCACUCGAUGCAACGCGGAGAACCUUUCCAAUGCUAGACAUUCACCAUACCGUACCACAGAUGUGCUAUCCCUUCGUGCCUGAUGAAAACGGAGUGCAUGUUUGUCGUCAACUCGUGUCG